Molecule: long non-coding RNA, 1378 nt
Organism: Homo sapiens (human)
Lineage: Eukaryota; Metazoa; Chordata; Mammalia; Primates; Hominidae
Product: long intergenic non-protein coding RNA 2609
Source: Ensembl
GGCCGCGGACCCUGGAUGGUGGCGUCGCCCGAAGACGCGCCUCACCGGCCUGGGUGGGGUUGCCUUUUGCCCUCGAGGCUGGCCUAAGCGCUGGGGGGCCGCUGGCUAACCCUGAGGUAGAUACUCGGGAAAUGGGUGGAAUAGGGAAAGGGACUCAGCCCUUCCGCCCUUUUCCCCAGUCGAGGCCCGCGUCACUGCCCUGUGGGUGCAGACGCCUCCAGUGUCACUCCCCUGGAUUUCGCUUGGGCAGAAGAAGAGAUUGUAGGCCGGACCCCAACGCCGAAGCCCUGAGGUGAGAGGGGACGGGGAGUCUCCGCUGCGACUGGCGGCCCCUCCCUCAGGCACCUUCUCCUAACAUUUCUGACUAAACGCCCCCAGGGGCGAAAACCGCUCCUCCUCCCCAGUUCCUGCGCUCGGUGGCCUGGGGCUCGGGGUUUGGGGGUUGCUCCUCGUCUGCCUCGAGGCCACUCGCUCGCGCUCGAGGGUCCUCUCCCGGCCAGCCCCGUGGGCUCGCCCCUCUCAGCCUCCUGCUGGACGUUGUCUGAGCUCCUCGCGGGCGCCGCUUGAAAGUGGGCCCAACCCGUGGGGGCGCCGGGCUGGUCUAGGCUCUGCCCUGGGGCUUCUGCGGCCUGGAGCUGAGGAGCCGGGGCCUUCGCGCCUCUCGGCGCCGGCUCCUCGCGUUGCUCGAAAGCCCGUCUGAGUAAUAGUCAACUGUUUUUGUCACUUUCUUAAGAUGCAUCAUCCCUGGUCUCUCUUGUUUCAUUACGAAAAAUCCCAGAGAAACCACCCGGCAGGAUCAAUCAGACGCAGGCAGCCAGACAGUUUUCUUGUACUUUAUUAAAGUGUAAUCAAACAUCGGUUAAGUGGAAAAUAAAUAUCCAGAUCUAAUAAGCUGCUCAGUCAGAUCGUGUAAAUGCAAAUUACAAGCUGGUUCCCAUCUUCCCGCCAGGGGAUUGAACAAGCCACAGCAAUUGCUUCAUCCACUGCGAUUGUAAAUCAACUAAAAUAAUGGCUGGAUAAUGACCAGUUUGCGGUUUCAAGCAGAUUGAAUGAUAACAAACUGCGUGUGUCGCACCAGCUUUUCAUUUAGCAUCUCAUCAUGGAGCGAGCAGCCCGCCUAACAGCUUGGCUCCCUCAUUAGGUUGUUGUCUGCAGCUUGUAAAUUCACACUGCAGCCAGCAGAUUACCUGACAAACUUCUUGAUAGGAAAAGCUAGACAAUUCAAUCCGGCCCAUCAAUCCCUCCCUGCGAAGGCAGGCACAUUGAUCUAUUGCUGAGCGCUGCGGCGAAUUGAUAACAAUAUGAUGCCUCCUAAUGUGGUGGAGGAAAUAUGUACGCAUGUAUACAUGCAGAAAUAUAUAGGGAAGCACACUCAUGG